UUUUGGCAGCUUCGUGCUUCCCAGGUCAAGAGGGCUUGGGAUCAGGGUCUCGUGGGCAGGUGUGACGGUGCUGUGUCAGGUGUGGUGUCCCAGGUGUGUCAGAUAUCCUGGCCCAGGUGUGACAGGUUUGGUGUCCCAGGUGUGAUGGCGCUGAGUCAAGUCCCAGGUGUGUCAGGUGUACUGUCCUGGG
Long non-coding RNA from Pristis pectinata (smalltooth sawfish), 190 nucleotides. RefSeq lists it as uncharacterized. The record is from RefSeq and is a predicted model, not a curated record. Lineage: Eukaryota; Metazoa; Chordata; Chondrichthyes; Rhinopristiformes; Pristidae. The transcript is spliced from 3 exons.